AUUCCAGCUCCAAUAGCGUAUAUUAAAGUUGUUGCGGUUAAAAAGCUCGUAGUUGGAUUUCUGUUGAGGACGGCCGGUCCGCACUAUGUGCGUGUAUCUGGUUCGGCCUUGGCAUCCUCUUGAGGAACGUAUCUGCGCUUGAUUGCGUGGAGCGGUAUUCAAGACUUUUACUUUGAGGAAAUUAGAGUGUUCACGGCAGGCAAGCGCCUUGAAUACGUUAGCAUGGAAUGAUAAUAUAGGAUCUUGGUUCUAUUUUGUUGGUUUCUAGAGCUAAGGUAAUGAUUAAUAGGGAUAAUUGGGGGCAUUUGUAUUAACGCGUCAGAGGUGGAAUUCUUGGAUUGCGUUACGACAAACUACUGCGAAAGCAUUUGCCAAGGAUGUUUUCAUUA
RNAcentral lists this ribosomal RNA (389 nucleotides) under Syndiniales sp. Its description in RNAcentral is "partial small subunit ribosomal RNA". It matches the Rfam family "Eukaryotic small subunit ribosomal RNA", at positions 582 to 975 of the family's 1831-position model. Lineage: Eukaryota; Dinophyceae; Syndiniales. The record is from RNAcentral.